RNAcentral lists this non-coding RNA (185 nucleotides) under delta proteobacterium MLMS-1. The record is from RNAcentral. Lineage: Bacteria; Deltaproteobacteria. RNAcentral also lists the same sequence under 1 other name.
UUGGGCGAUUGCCGACCUGGUCGCGGGCCUGGGGAGAAUAGGAAAUCGGGUGUAAAUCCCGAGCGGUCCCGCCGCUGUGAACGGGGAGUGAUUCCGGUAAAUGCCACUGGCCGCCAGGCGGCCGGGAAGGCCCGGAAAAACGAUGAGCCGUGAGCCAGAAGGCCUGCCCCUUGGUUAGCCGCCGC